Molecule: long non-coding RNA, 1062 nt
Organism: Cyprinus carpio (common carp)
Lineage: Eukaryota; Metazoa; Chordata; Actinopteri; Cypriniformes; Cyprinidae
Source: RefSeq, a predicted model, not a curated record
CUCGCUCAUUAUAUACAUUUUGUAAAUUUUGAACACAGAAAAAGUUACAUAGUGUUGCUUUUAACGUACUUGUGCAGAAUAACGCUGACGAAAGUCAUUCUUGUUUCUGCUAUAAUCUUUGAAUUUCAUAUAAACGGAAACAGUCUGUCUGCGGAUUGUAAAUCCAGAUACAUUUCAUCCAGAAUGUCAUAAUUUGAUCAAUGAGGAGUUUCGCAUCAGCUGCUCUGCGCGUCUGGUCCGUCAGUAAAUACUUCCCCCGUCAUCUGGAGUUCCUUUGAUCCCUCAUUAAUCUGCGUAUAAGUAACAUAUAAUAACAAACCAUUUUACUGCGUAUUUAUUCAGAACAUGCCCCCUGAUUCGUAAGACAAUAUCGCGAAUAAAUGAAGAAAUCUAUUUUUGAACGCACGAGCCGGAAGUAAUGUUUGGGGUUAAUAUGUGUAGUUUAUAUUCGUCCGUGUGGAGGGCAGAACUUGUUGCGCUGAGACUUCUGCUGUUUUGUCUGUUUGCUUACACGAAGACUAUACAUUUUCAGCAUGAAACAGUCCAAACUGUCCACUGUAAAGCGCCUUACAAAACCGAUUCUUUUUGGGACACUGCUAGUAGGUUUGGCGACGGCAUUUUUGAAUAGACAUCUGUUCAUGGAGGACCUGUCGGAUCUCAGGGAGCAGGAACGAUCCCGCAAUGAAGCCAAACGACUGGAGGUGCUGGAGAGGAGGAGGAGACAAAUAGAUGAACAUGCAGGGAAGAGUGCAGGGGACAGGUGAGAUGACUGAAUGGACGCCUGCAGGAAAUCAACACUGAAGAAAACAUGGGACAUCUUUGCCUAUAAGGAUUUGUCAAGUGUUAAAAAACUUUUCCUUGAUUGUUCUGUUAUUGCUGUAAUGGGACAGAAGUUGCAUGGAAAGUCCACGAGUGAUGGAGUAAGCAAUGAUUUGAAUUGAUUGCCUUGAUCAUAUUUAGCUGUAACGGCUGGAUUUGCAAGAGGAUUAUACAUUACACAAAUGUAAGAUGCAAAUGGGGGGUAAUUAUUAGUAAGCCAAAUAAAUAUGGAUGUGCCUCAUU